RNAcentral lists this ribosomal RNA (1470 nucleotides) under Triticum aestivum (bread wheat). Its description in RNAcentral is "partial small subunit ribosomal RNA". The record is from RNAcentral. Lineage: Eukaryota; Viridiplantae; Streptophyta; Magnoliopsida; Poales; Poaceae.
AUGGCUCGGGCUCUCCUCAAGCAGAGAGGGAUGCCGGCUGUCUUCUGGGGAGAGGCGGUGCUAACGGCCGUCUACAUCCUCAACCGCUCUCCUACUAAGGCACUCGACGGCAGAACUCCGUACGAGGCCUGGCAUGGGCGGAAGCCGGCGGUCUCUCAUUUGCGGGUCUUUGGCUGCCUUGCGUUCGCCAAGGAGCUCGGCCACAUCGGCAAGCUCGACGACAGGAGCACUCCGGGAGUCUUCAUCGGCUACGCGGAGGGCUCAAAGGCCUACCGCAUCCUCGACCCAAAGACACAACGUGUGCGCACAGCGCGAGACGUCGUGUUCAACGAAGGGCGAGGGUGGCAAUGGGACAAGGCGGUGGACGACGGCUCGACGCCGACGUAUGACGACUUCAUUGUCGAGUACGCUCACUUCAAGGAAGCUGGGGGAGCAAGCAGCUCCUCUUCACCGGGCACGUCUACCCCGGCCCCCAAAACUACAUCGACUCCGGCGCCUGCUACACCGACGACACCACAACCGGCGACGCCACAUACUCCAGCCCCGGCGGUCGCCACUCCGGGCUCGUCUUCAUCAGCACCAGCUCACGCAGAGCACAAUCCGAUGAAGUUCGCUUCCCCGCUCACUCACGACGAGGAGCGGGUCGACGCAUGGUAUGGAGGCGAACCGCUGCGGUACCGUACGAUGGAUAAUGUGCUCGGCGACCAGCCGGUGCCAGGACUGGUGCCACGUGACCUGGAGGCGCAGCUACAGCUCGUGUGUGAAGACGGCGAACCACGGUCCUUUGCAGAGGCCGAGAGAGACGCGGCAUGGCGCGCCGCGAUGAAGUUGGAGAUGGAUGCGGUCGAGCAAAACCGCACCUGGGAGCUUGCUGAUCUCCCUCGAGGUCACCGCGCAAUCACCCUUAAGUGGGUGUUCAAGCUGAAGAAGGAUGGAGCCGGCGCCAUCAUCAAGCACAAGGCUCGUUUGGUGGCCCGAGGUUUCUUGCAGCAGGAAGGAGUCGACUUCGACGACGCUUUCGCUCCCGUGGCACGGAUGGAGUCCGUGCGACUUCUCCUUGCGCUGGCUGCCCAGGAGGGCUGGCGUGUCCACCACAUGGACGUUAAGUCGGCAUUCCUCAACGGCGACUUGAAGGAGGAAGUCUACGUGCAUCAGCCACCGGGGUUUACGAUUCCCGGCCAGGAGGGCAAGGUGCUCCGCCUGCGCAAGGCUCUCUAUGGCCUGCGGCAGGCACCCAGGGCGUGGAACGCCAAGCUGGACUCCACGCUGAAGAAGAUGGGUUUCGAGCAGAGCCCGCAUGAGGCUGCCGUCUACCGACGGGGGAGUGGAGGAAAUGCCCUGCUGGUGGGCGUCUACGUUGACGACCUGGUGAUCACCGGCACCAAAGAUGCAGAGGUGGCGGCGUUCAAGGAAGACAUGAAGGCCACGUUCCAGAUGAGUGACCUGGGGCUCCUCUCCUUCUAUCUAUAG